RNAcentral lists this ribosomal RNA (253 nucleotides) under uncultured bacterium. RNAcentral describes it as "partial 16S ribosomal RNA". It matches the Rfam family "Bacterial small subunit ribosomal RNA", at positions 524 to 776 of the family's 1533-position model. The record is from RNAcentral.
UACGUAGGGGGCAAGCGUUAUCCGGAUUUACUGGGUGUAAAGGGAGCGUAGACGGUUAGAUAAGUCAGAUGUGAAAGCCCAGGGCUCAACCCUGGGACUGCAUUUGAAACUAUCUAACUAGAGUGCAGGAGAGGUAAGUGGAAUUCCUAGUGUAGCGGUGAAAUGCGUAGAUAUUAGGAGGGACACCAGUGGCGAAGGCGACUUACUGGACUGUAACUGACGUUGAUGCUCGAAAGCGUGGGGAGCAAACAGG